CAGCCAUAUGUUGUUACACCACGUGUGACAAUUUUAUGUUAUCGGGCAUAUGUUUAUGGGAAUCAGAUAUGCAGCCGUCACAGCCAGCUGAUGAAGAUCCUCAGCUUAUACAGAGGUCAGGCUUGAGCUAUGUGCUGAUUCAAAAGAUGCUAAUGACAGUGGAUAAUCCAUUCUGAGCUGUUCUAGGACCAUUCACCAACGUUCCAAAACACUGAUGGAACUGAAGGCAGUACCUGUAUUGGUGUCUGGCCUGUGAUUUCAAGUUUAAUUGAUGUACCUCCUCCUGAUGUAUCUCCUUGAAUACAAUAUAUCUGCCAUGUGAAAGGAACAAGCUGAUGGAUAUACUGUGGAAGUGGGGGCCUAUGUAAAAAACAUUUUAUUUAAAGAAUAUAAGAAAUCUGACACUAAACUACUGAAAAGGUGCACAGGGGACAUUUUUGUGUGUAUAGACUUUCAUCAAGAUUCUGAGAAAGUUGAUUUAUUAAACAAAAAUAGAAAAGUGAUGGGGUUAUGAAACUGUAGUGUUCAACAUUUAAAUUGUUGUUUUUUUGGGGGGUUUUUUUUCACUACAUUUUGUGAAGAGGGUUCCAUCACAAGAUGCGACAUAUUGCCUGGUAAGAAUUAGAUGUAGUUUAUGAAAAAAAGUAUUUUGCUUUAAAUGUGCAGACUUUAAGUCACAUAAAAAAUCAAAGCUGUAACAAUAAAGCUUGAUUAAAAAAACACACUGUUGAAAACUAGCCUUCAUGUAAAUGUCACACUUUUUUGGGUGCACAGGGGACACAAUUAGCUAUAUAAUUUAAUAUAACUUUAACCCUUAGGCCCUUGCUAAAUUACUAUAAUGAACUUGUCCGUUUAACAAUUUGGACAGUAUUAUUAAGUGUUAAAAGGGGUGCUAACCAAAAGAUACUGACUGAAUGGCGAACAGUGCAGAUUAAGAUCAGACUGCACAGAUGUGCAGGCUGAUCAUGAUCUACACUUGUCGCAAAGGUAGGACCAACCAUGUACAGCAUGAUAAGGGUUAAAACUGCUUGAGCCAUUCAGCUGAAAUUGCAAACAUUUGUUGACUACAUUGAUUGGAUAUAUGUAAUUUGCCCCAAAACACUUUAUAAAACUGAACUGAAUUAAAAUAAGGUGAGAGAGAAGGAAAAGCUUAAUUAUUUAAAAAAAAACCUAUAUAGCCGAUAGAUAUACAUUGUUGAAGGCAUUAUCUUUGUUUACAUUAAAUUUAAAUGUGGCUGC
Long non-coding RNA from Mercenaria mercenaria, 1239 nucleotides. RefSeq lists it as uncharacterized. The transcript has 3 exons. Lineage: Eukaryota; Metazoa; Mollusca; Bivalvia; Venerida; Veneridae. The record is from RefSeq and is a predicted model, not a curated record.